This 253-nucleotide ribosomal RNA is filed under the name uncultured bacterium. RNAcentral describes it as "partial 16S ribosomal RNA". It matches the Rfam family "Bacterial small subunit ribosomal RNA", at positions 524 to 776 of the family's 1533-position model. The record is from RNAcentral.
UACGGGGGGGGCAAGCGUUGUUCGGAAUCACUGGGCUUAAAGGGCGCGUAGGCGGGCCAUCAAGUCAGGGGUGAAAUCCUCCAGCUCAACUGGAGAACAGCUUUUGAUACUGGUGGUCUCGAGUGGGGUAGGGGCAUGUGGAACUUCCGGUGGAGCGGUGAAAUGCGUAGAUAUCGGAAGGAACACCGGUGGCGAAGGCGGCGUCCUGGACCAACACUGACACUGAUGAGCGAAAGCCAGGGGAGCAAACGGG